CAGUAGCCGCGGUAAUACAGAGGGUGCGAGCGUUAAUCGGAUUUACUGGGCGUAAAGCGUGCGUAGGCGGCUUCUUAAGUCGGAUGUGAAAUCCCUGAGCUUAACUUAGGAAUUGCAUUCGAUACUGGGAAGCUAGAGUAUGGGAGAGGAUGGUAGAAUUCCAGGUGUAGCGGUGAAAUGCGUAGAGAUCUGGAGGAAUACCGAUGGCGAAGGCAGCCAUCUGGCCUAAUACUGACGCUGAGGUACGAAAGCAUGGGGAGCAAACAGGAUUAGAUACCCCAGUAGUCCCUUGUCUCUUAUA
Molecule: ribosomal RNA, 301 nt
Filed under: uncultured bacterium
Lineage: Bacteria
Description: partial 16S ribosomal RNA
Rfam family: Bacterial small subunit ribosomal RNA
Source: RNAcentral